RNAcentral lists this ribosomal RNA (499 nucleotides) under uncultured bacterium. RNAcentral's name for it is "partial 16S ribosomal RNA". It matches the Rfam family "Bacterial small subunit ribosomal RNA", at positions 28 to 507 of the family's 1533-position model. The record is from RNAcentral.
GACGAACGCUGGCGGCGUGCCUAAUACAUGCCAGUCGAGCGGACUGACUGGGAGCUUGCUCUUGUUCGGUCAGCGGCGGACGGGUGAGUAACACGUGGGCAACCUGCCCGCAAGACCGGGAUAACUCCGGGAAACCGGAGCUAAUACCGGAUAACACCGAAGACCGCAUGGUCUUUGGUUGAAAGGCGGCGCAAGCUGCCACUUGCGGAUGGGCCCGCGGCGCAUUAGCUAGUUGGUGAGGUAACGGCUCACCAAGGCGACGAUGCGUAGCCGGCCUGAGGGGGUGACCGGCCACACUGAGACUGAGACACGGCCCAGACUCCUACGGGAGGCAGCAGUAGGGAAUCUUCCGCAAUGGGCGAAAGCCUGACGGAGCGACGCCGCGUGAGCGAAGAAGGCCGUCGGGUCGUAAAGCUCUGUUGUGAGGGACGAAGGAGCGCCGUUUGAAGAAGGCGGCGCGGUGACGGUACCUCACGAGGAAGCCCCGGCUAACUACGUG